GACGAACGCUGGCGGCGUGCUUAACACAUGCAAGUCGAACGGAAAGGCCCUGCUUUUGUGGGGUGCUCGAGUGGCGAACGGGUGAGUAACACGUGAGUAACCUGCCCUUGACUUUGGGAUAACUUCAGGAAACUGGGGCUAAUACCGGAUAGGAGCUCCUGCUGCAUGGUGGGGGUUGGAAAGUUUCGGCGGUUGGGGAUGGACUCGCGGCUUAUCAGCUUGUUGGUGGGGUAGUGGCUUACCAAGGCUUUGACGGGUAGCCGGCCUGAGAGGGUGACCGGGGUCAAUGGGACUGAGGUAGGGACCAGGGGGGUAUGUGGGGCAGCAGGGGGGAAUAUGGCACAAGGGGCGGGAGCCUGAGGAGGAGGCGCCGGGUGUGGGAUGAAGGGCUUGGGGUGGGAAAGCGCAGUAGCAUAUGACGAAGCGGGAGUGACGGUAAUGGGUAAAGAAGCACCGGCUAACUACGUG
Molecule: ribosomal RNA, 468 nt
Filed under: uncultured bacterium
Lineage: Bacteria
Description: partial 16S ribosomal RNA
Rfam family: Bacterial small subunit ribosomal RNA
Source: RNAcentral